CCCCCGGCUAGCUAGAUAGGUGAUUGGUUGUUAAUUUAAAUUAUUCAUAGAGAGGUGCACACUGGUUAUUACUUAAUUUCUCUUUUUUACAUUAUACUUUAAUUGAGUGGUUAUUUCAUUAUGUGAAUGUUGUGUUUGAAACGCAUUGACAAUUAUUUACAUUAGUAUGAACAAGUGGAGUACCAAAAAGGAAACUGAAUUACACACCGUCACUAGGGUGAUACAUGCCGGGAGUAGGGAAGUUGCUUUACCCGUUUGUUUUUUAAGACUAUACUUUCAGGGAUCAUUUCUAUAGUUUGUUACUAGUGAAAUGCGUUUCUAAAGUGUCUGGUCUCGCUAACCAUGAUGAGGAGUCACAGUGUUCUCUUCUGAGCGCGAAGCGGGUCUUGAAUGCUGCUUUACUGUAGCUGUUCUUGACCAUUGAUGACCGUUCCGCUCUCUUUCGAGGGUGGAGGAAGAGAACACAUUCUGAGUGGUUAGCAACAUUUUAUAAGCAGUGAAAAAAGGAAAGUGCGUUGUUUCUGUAUGUGUAAUUAUACACAGAUGUACACUAGUGGGCACUGGAGACAUUCUACCUUCCCUGUAAAAGAGAAGGAAGCCUUACAGAAAAAUGCAGCUCUUCUUACUAUUCAGUGAACCAGAGAGCCAAAAAAAAACCAACCUGUCAGCUCCUUGAAUACCGAAAAGCGACGUGGCAGAGUUCCUGUUGAACUAGACAGCAGCGACUGAAACCUUCUGUACUGGUUCAGUGAUUGGCUGUUGGCCAACAUUAUGCAAAUACAUUCUCACACCGGGUCUUGACUAAAGCAUUCAUUUCAGAGCAAAAUGUUUAUGAUUAUUUAACAUUGUGAAUUAUUUUAACUACUUUUGUUGUAGGCACUAUAUAAAUUAGCAUGUUUAAGACAUGUGGUCUGCUGUAACAGACAAGUAUGCAUUAGACACCCUCACCUGUGUGUUUGGUGCCAGCAACAUGGCGAUUGCUUUACCCGUUUGUUUUUUAAGACUAUACUUUCAGGGAUCAUUUCUAUAGUUUGUUACUAGUGAAAUGCGUUUCUAAAGUGUCUGGUCUCGCUAACCAUGUUGAGGAGUCACAGUGUUCUCUUCUGAGCGCGAAGCGGGUCUUGAAUGCUGCUUUACUGUAGCUGUUCCUGACCAUUGAUGACCGUUCCGCUCUCUUUCGAGGGGGGAGGAAGAGAACAUGUUCUGAGUGGU
Molecule: long non-coding RNA, 1212 nt
Organism: Acipenser ruthenus (sterlet)
Lineage: Eukaryota; Metazoa; Chordata; Actinopteri; Acipenseriformes; Acipenseridae
Exons: 2
Source: RefSeq, a predicted model, not a curated record